Long non-coding RNA from Oreochromis niloticus (Nile tilapia), 364 nucleotides. RefSeq lists it as uncharacterized. The record is from RefSeq and is a predicted model, not a curated record. The transcript has 2 exons. NCBI's taxonomy places the organism in Eukaryota, Metazoa, Chordata, Actinopteri, Cichliformes, Cichlidae.
GGGAGACAGUAUGAAGCUCAUCAGCAUCAUCCACCUUCAUGUUGUUCCUCCAGGUCAGACAGGAGGACAAGAGAAGGAUGAAGACAACAAAGAUGGAGGAAAGGAGGAUGGAUCUGUUGGACUGAUAGUUGGUCUGUCAGUUCUUUUUGUGCUUCUUCUUGUUGCUGCUGCUGUUGGUUUCUUGAUCUACAGAAAAUAUAAACAACAACAGAGUGAGGAAACAAACCAGCCUCCUGUUUAAGUGCAGCAGGUUAAAAUGUUUCAGAGGUUUUUCCAGUGUUGAGUCGGCUGCUGCUGUUCAGAGUUCUGGGUGUUGUCAGUGUUUAAAAUCGUACAAAAACAGAUGAACUGAGCACAGACAGCA